RNAcentral lists this ribosomal RNA (253 nucleotides) under uncultured bacterium. RNAcentral's name for it is "partial 16S ribosomal RNA". It matches the Rfam family "Bacterial small subunit ribosomal RNA", at positions 524 to 776 of the family's 1533-position model. The record is from RNAcentral.
UACAGAGGUCUCAAGCGUUGUUCGGAUUCAUUGGGCGUAAAGGGUGCGUAGGCGGCGCGGUAAGUCGGAUGUGAAAUCUCAGGGCUCAACCCUGAAACUGCAUUCGAUACUGCGUGGCUAGAGUGCUGGAGAGGAGACUGGAAUUUACGGUGUAGCAGUGAAAUGCGUAGAUAUCGUAAGGAAGACCAGUGGCGAAGGCGAGUCUCUGGACAGCAACUGACGCUGAGGCACGAAGGCCAGGGGAGCAAACGGG